Molecule: ribosomal RNA, 454 nt
Filed under: uncultured bacterium
Lineage: Bacteria
Description: partial 16S ribosomal RNA
Rfam family: Bacterial small subunit ribosomal RNA
Source: RNAcentral
CGCGCAAGCGGUGGAGCAUGUGGUUUAAUCCGAUAGUACGCGUAAAAUCUUACCAAUUUUUGAUUAAUGAGUUGUAUAAAUAAUAUUCUGUUAUUAUUAUAGUAUUAAUAAAUUUUUUUAGAUUAAAUUAUUUUUUUAGCUCAUUGCAGGUGUUGCAUGGUUGUCGUCAGUUCGUGUUGUGAAAUUGUUUGGUUUAUUCCUUAAAACGGACGUCAACUCCUAGUAUUAAUUAUUGUAAAUAUAAAAUAUUUUUUUAUAUUUCGUUAAUAUUGUUAUUAAUUAAAUAUUAAUUACCACGGGGAGGAUGUCAAAUCGUCAUGUCCCUUAUAAAUUGGGGACUACACACGUGCUACAAUGGUAAAUACAAUAAGAGGCUAUUACGAAAGUAGGAGCUAAUACUUUUAAAGGUAUCUUAGUACGGAUUAUUCUCUGCAAGUCGAGAAUAUUAAGUUAG